RNAcentral lists this ribosomal RNA (253 nucleotides) under uncultured bacterium. Its description in RNAcentral is "partial 16S ribosomal RNA". It matches the Rfam family "Bacterial small subunit ribosomal RNA", at positions 524 to 776 of the family's 1533-position model. The record is from RNAcentral.
UACAGAGGGUGCAAGCGUUAAUCGGAGUUACUGGGCGUAAAGGGCGCGUAGGUGGUUAUUUAAGUUUGAUGUGAAAUCCCUGGGCUUAACCUAGGAACUGCAUUGAAUACUGGGUAACUUGAGUACUGUAGAGGGUAGUGGAAUUUCCGGUGUAGCGGUGAAAUGCGUAGAGAUCGGAAGGAACACCAGUGGCGAAGGCGGCUACCUGGACAGAUACUGACACUGAGGCGCGAAAGCGUGGGGAUCAAACAGG